CAGAAAGGUGGCGUCAGUGAAUUUGGACUUCCUUAUAAUGUGAUUACUAAACAACUUAUCUCUCUUAACAAUAGCUGUCCUACUUCAAAGAACAUUUACUUGCUGGAGUUUCACCCUUCUCUUGGUCUGGUGUGCUUGAUCCCCAAAGCUGUUGAGCAUAUCUACCAGGAAUUCUGCAACAUCCUUAGACCGAAAACAGCCAGUGAAGCAAGUAAUCUAGAAAAACAAGUACUUCAGCUAGCAGUGGAUGAGUGGCUAACUAUGGAAAAAGCAGAGUCUUUUUACAGCUCUCAGAUUCAAAAAGAUUUAUUUGCAGAGGUACUGAUAGAAGACCCUGUGCUGGUGCAAGAGAUUGCUUUGUCACUGUUAGAGCUGAGAGCAGAUGAAGAAAAAAAGGAAAGCAGAGAAAAACAAUUCUUUCUCCUCGAUUCCUUUUCCAUGAUCCUAGAGCUUGUGACGCUUCGCCAUCGGUUGAUAGAGGUGGCAACGGAGAGCGCGCAGUUAGCCAGGUUAUACAAAGCUUUUGCAAGGGAAAUGGGUUUUGGUGAGUUCCAUUUGUAUCUGAGGCCAGUGCACUUUGAAUUUGCAUCUUACAAGGAGAAAGCAGACCACAUCCCACCAAUAUUCAUUACAUCCCUCCUGGAAGAUGACAGCUGUGUUGACAGAUAUAUUCCAUCUAACUUACAAUUAGGCAUCCAAGAAAUCGACAGUCAUAUUGGAAAGUUUAGCUUCCGUACAAGAGAUGGUGUUAUGCAGCUCUUGUCCCCGUCUGGAAUAAAGAACAUGCAGCUUAUCCUUGCCUGUCAGGUCAUUCAGAAAAAUGCUCUUUUGGUGGCUGUUCAGCAAGCUUCCUUUUGUUACCUGGUCCAGCCUACCCAUGCCCGGGACACAAAGGAAGGAAAUAUAAGACUAACAAGUUGGAGCAGUUCAGCAAGUGGAAGAAAUUCUGUGUCUGGGAAUGAAAUAGAGAAUCGGCUGCUGCAAGCAACCACAGCAGCCACCUCAUGUUCUCCUGGACGUUCUUCAGAUUUACACUGUACCAUAAACAGGCCUGCAGAAGCUUUUGUUUCCAUUCAGCUAGAGAAACUGGGGCCUCGAGACAUGAUGCUGAACGCAUUCAUUCAGAAGAAAGAAACCAUGGGUAGCAGAAUGCAAAACCCUGUAAGUGUGUCAGGAGAUUUAUCGUUUUCAAGAGAGACUGUUGAUUUUUGGCACAUAGGCAAAGUGGUUAGGGUC
This 1236-nucleotide long non-coding RNA is filed under the name Struthio camelus australis. RNAcentral describes it as "lncRNA (ENSSCUG00000008865.1)". Lineage: Eukaryota; Metazoa; Chordata; Aves; Struthioniformes; Struthionidae. The record is from RNAcentral.